Molecule: transfer RNA, 66 nt
Filed under: human gut metagenome
Also listed under: 2 other names
Rfam family: tRNA
About the family: Transfer RNA (tRNA) molecules are approximately 80 nucleotides in length. Their secondary structure includes four short double-helical elements and three loops (D, anti-codon, and T loops). Further hydrogen bonds mediate the characteristic L-shaped molecular structure. tRNAs have two regions of fundamental functional importance: the anti-codon, which is responsible for specific mRNA codon recognition, and the 3' end, to which the tRNAs corresponding amino acid is attached (by aminoacyl-tRNA synthetases). tRNAs cope with the degeneracy of the genetic code in two manners: having more than one tRNA (with a specific anti-codon) for a particular amino acid; and 'wobble' base-pairing, i.e. permitting non-standard base-pairing at the 3rd anti-codon position.
Source: RNAcentral
GGUAUAGCUCAGUUGGUUAGAGCGCCAGGUUGUGGCCCUGGAGGCCAACGGUUCGAAUCCGUUUAC